CAUUCCAUCGUGUCGCGGUUAGCACGUCUGCUUUACACGCAGAAGGCCUAGGUUCGUGCCCCAGUGGAGCCA
Molecule: transfer RNA, 72 nt
Filed under: Pteropus alecto (black flying fox)
Lineage: Eukaryota; Metazoa; Chordata; Mammalia; Chiroptera; Pteropodidae
Rfam family: tRNA
About the family: Transfer RNA (tRNA) molecules are approximately 80 nucleotides in length.
Source: Rfam by way of RNAcentral